RNAcentral lists this ribosomal RNA (327 nucleotides) under uncultured eukaryote. RNAcentral's name for it is "partial 18S ribosomal RNA". It matches the Rfam family "Eukaryotic small subunit ribosomal RNA", at positions 1470 to 1796 of the family's 1831-position model. The record is from RNAcentral.
CCCUUAGAUGUUAUGGGCCGCACGCGCGCUACACUGAUUCAUGCAACAAGUUUUGUCCUUGGCUGAUAGGCCUGGGUAAUCUUUGAACGUGAAUCGUGAUGGGGAUAGAUGAUUGCAAUUAUUCAUCUUCAACGAGGAAUUCCUAGUAAACGCAAGUCAUCAGCUUGCAUUGAUUACGUCCCUGCCCUUUGUACACACCGCCCGUCGCACCUACCGAUUGAAUGGUCCGGUGAAAUCUUCGGAUCUGAGAGAUGUCUGAUUAAUUUCGGACGCCUUUUGGAAAAGUUGUUUAAACCUUACCAUUUAGAGGAAGGUGAAGUCGUAACA